This 425-nucleotide ribosomal RNA is filed under the name uncultured bacterium. RNAcentral describes it as "partial 16S ribosomal RNA". It matches the Rfam family "Bacterial small subunit ribosomal RNA", at positions 354 to 796 of the family's 1533-position model. The record is from RNAcentral.
GUGGGGAAUCUUGCGCAAUGGGCGAAAGCCUGACGCAGCCAUGCCGCGUGAAUGAUGAAGGUCUUAGGAUUGUAAAAUUCUUUCACCGGGGACGAUAAUGACGGUACCCGGAGAAGAAGCCCCGGCUAACUUCGUGCCAGCAGCCGCGGUAAUACGAAGGGGGCUAGCGUUGCUCGGAAUUACUGGGCGUAAAGGGCGCGUAGGCGGACAGUUUAGUCAGAGGUGAAAGCCCAGGGCUCAACCGUGGAAUUGCCUUUGAUACUGGCUGUCUUGAGUACGGGAGAGGUGAGUGGAACUCCGAGUGUAGAGGUGAAAUUCGUAGAUAUUCGGAAGAACACCAGUGGCGAAGGCGACUCACUGGCCCGUUACUGACGCUGAGGCGCGAAAGCGUGGGGAGCAAACAGGAUUAGAUACCCCUGUAGUCC